Molecule: ribosomal RNA, 526 nt
Filed under: uncultured bacterium
Lineage: Bacteria
Description: bacterial SSU rRNA
Rfam family: Bacterial small subunit ribosomal RNA
Source: RNAcentral
UUGACAUCCACGGAAUUUGGCAGAGAUGCCUUAGUGCCUUCGGGAACCGUGAGACAGGUGCUGCAUGGCUGUCGUCAGCUCGUGUUGUGAAAUGUUGGUUAAGUCCCGCAAGAGCGCAACCCUUAUCCUUUGUUGCCAGCGAUUCGGUCGGGAACUCAAAGGAGACUGCCGGUGAUAAACCGGAGGAAGGUGGGGAUGACGUCAAGUCAUCAUGGCCCUUACGGCCAGGGCUACACACGUGCUACAAUGGCGCAUACAAAGAGAAGCGACCUCGCGAGAGCAAGCGGACCUCAUAAAGUGCGUCGUAGUCCGGAUUGGAGUCUGCAACUCGACUCCAUGAAGUCGGAAUCGCUAGUAAUCGUAGAUCAGAAUGCUACGGUGAAUACGUUCCCGGGCCUUGUACACACCGCCCGUCACACCAUGGGAGUGGGUUGCAAAAGAAGUAGGUAGCUUAACCUUCGGGAGGGCGCUUACCACUUUGUGAUUCAUGACUGGGGUGAAGUCGUAACAAGGUAAGCGUAGCGAG